GCAGUGUGUACACACCCACAGAAGACUGCCCUCAGCUGUAAAAAAUCAAGCGUAGUUGAGCCCAGGAGUUCUGGGCUGUAGUGCGCUAUGCCAAUCGGGUGUCCGCACUAAGUUCGGCAUCAAUAUGGUGACCUCCUGGGAGCAGGGGACCAUCAGGUUGCCUAAGGAGGGGUGAACCAGCCCACAUUGGAAACAGAGCAGGUCAAAACUCCCGUGCUGAUCAGUAGUGGGAUCGCGCCUGAGAAUAGCCACUGCACUCCAGCCUGGGCAACAUAGCGAGA
RNAcentral lists this signal recognition particle RNA (281 nucleotides) under Cebus imitator (Panamanian white-faced capuchin). Its description in RNAcentral is "Metazoan signal recognition particle RNA (ENSCCAG00000014404.1)". The stretch from base 56 to 275 matches the Rfam family "Metazoan signal recognition particle RNA", at positions 62 to 282 of the family's 299-position model. From Rfam's summary of the family: The signal recognition particle (SRP) is a universally conserved ribonucleoprotein. It is involved in the co-translational targeting of proteins to membranes. Lineage: Eukaryota; Metazoa; Chordata; Mammalia; Primates; Cebidae. The record is from RNAcentral.